Miniopterus natalensis is the source of this 206-nucleotide non-coding RNA. Lineage: Eukaryota; Metazoa; Chordata; Mammalia; Chiroptera; Miniopteridae. The record is from RefSeq and is a predicted model, not a curated record.
UGUCAAAAUGAAUUGGACCAACUGUGGGUUCCAGGACCCCAGAGCCAGCAAUGCCUCCCUGGACGACCCCACACCAUUGCUCUGCUUGGAGAACAUCACCACUCUGAAGCCGGAGACUACGCCCAAAGAGCUUAGCAGCGUCAGCACAGCAGCCACAGCUGUUUUCAGCGCCAUUGGUACCAUGGCCCUCCUUUUGCUUCUUGUGG